RNAcentral lists this ribosomal RNA (253 nucleotides) under uncultured bacterium. Its description in RNAcentral is "partial 16S ribosomal RNA". It matches the Rfam family "Bacterial small subunit ribosomal RNA", at positions 524 to 776 of the family's 1533-position model. The record is from RNAcentral.
UACAGGGGGUGCAAACGUUGCUCGGAAUCAUUGGGCGUAAAGCGCACGUAGGCGGUUCGUUAUGUCGGAUGUGAAAGCCCUUGGCUUAACCGAGGAAGUGCAUCCGAAACUGGCGAGCUAGAGUACGAAAGAGGAUCGCGGAAUUCCCGGUGUAGAGGUGAAAUGCGUAGAUAUCGGGAGGAACACCAGUGGCGAAGGCGAUCAUCUGGGGUUGUUCUGACACUGAGGAGCGAAAGCUAGGGGAGCAAACAGG